RNAcentral lists this ribosomal RNA (500 nucleotides) under uncultured bacterium. RNAcentral describes it as "bacterial SSU rRNA". It matches the Rfam family "Bacterial small subunit ribosomal RNA", at positions 28 to 525 of the family's 1533-position model. The record is from RNAcentral.
GAUGAACGCUAGCGGCAGGCUUAAUACAUGCAAGUCGAGGGAAAAGUAGUUUUCGGACUAUGAAGACCGGCGCACGGGUGCGUAACGCGUACACAACAUGCCUAAUACUGGAGUAUAGUCUCGGGAAACUGGGGGUAAUCCUCCAUAAUAUUAUAGAAUCGCAUGAUUUUAUAAUUAAAGCUCAGGCGGUAUUAGAUUGGUGUGCGUAUGAUUAGCUUGUUGGUAGGGUAACGGCCUACCAAGGCAACGAUCAUUAGCUGGCGUGAGAGCGCGACCAGCCACACUGGAACUGAGACACGGUCCAGACUCCUACGGGAGGCAGCAGUAGGGAAUAUUGGACAAUGGGCGAAAGCCUGAUCCAGCCAUGCCGCGUGGUAGAUGAAGGCCCUCUGGGGUUGUAAAAUACCUUUUUAUCUGGGAAGAAAUAUCUCAUUCUUGAGAAACUGACGGUACCAGAUGAAUAAGCACCGGCUAACUCCGUGCCAGCAGCCGCGGUAAUC